This is a long non-coding RNA of Acromyrmex echinatior (Panamanian leafcutter ant), 272 nucleotides long. RefSeq lists it as uncharacterized. NCBI's taxonomy places the organism in Eukaryota, Metazoa, Arthropoda, Insecta, Hymenoptera, Formicidae. The record is from RefSeq and is a predicted model, not a curated record.
UAACAAGAAAUAUUAACUAAAAUGAAUAAACAUUAAAUUAUAUAAUCAAUUAUUAAAUGUAGCUUGUAGUAUUAGUGGCAUCGAACAGCGGCUGGAAUUAGAUAAAAAUUAUUUAAAAUUACAUUUUAGUGGAUUUGCACGUGCAACAUUUACGACCAAUUCACAUGAGAAUCGAGAUUUCUCCAUAUUGGAAAGAUAGUGUUGUUUAUGAAUAUUGAGAAGAUACGAGGAGAGAAUACAAUAUUGUAGCUAUUAAGAAAGUAAGAAAUUAA